GAUCAUGGCUCAGGAUGAACGCUAGCUACAGGCUUAACACAUGCAAGUCGAGGGGCAGCAUCAUCAAAGCUUGCUUUGAUGGAUGGCGACCGGCGCACGGGUGAGUAACACGUAUCCAACCUGCCGACAACACUGGGAUAGCCUUUCGAAAGAAAGAUUAAUACCGGAUGGCAUAGUUUUCCCGCAUGGGAUAAUUAUUAAAGAAUUUCGGUUGUCGAUGGGGAGUGCGCUCCA
Molecule: ribosomal RNA, 234 nt
Filed under: uncultured bacterium
Lineage: Bacteria
Description: partial 16S ribosomal RNA
Rfam family: Bacterial small subunit ribosomal RNA
Source: RNAcentral